AUUGAACGCUAGCGGGAUGCUUUACACAUGCAAGUCGAACGAGUGGCGGACGGGUGAGUAAUAUAUCGGAACGUGCCCAGUAGCGGGGGAUAACUACUCGAAAGAGGGGCUAAUACCGCAUACUAAUGGCGCGGCCGAUAUCGGAUUAUCUAGUUGGUGGGGUAAAGGCUCACCAAGGCAACGAUCCGGAGCUGGUUUGAGAGGACGACCAGCCAACAUGGGCAUGUAGCACGGCCCAGAUUCAUACGAGAGGCAGCAUGGGGGAAUGUUGGACAAUGGGGGAAACCCUGAUCCAGCGAUCCGGCGUGUAUGAGAAGGCCUUCGGGUUGUAAAGUACUUUUGGCAGAGAAGCGGUAUCUGCAGAAUAAGCACCGGCUAACUACGUGCCAGCAGCCGCGGUAAUAC
This 405-nucleotide ribosomal RNA is filed under the name uncultured bacterium. RNAcentral describes it as "partial 16S ribosomal RNA". It matches the Rfam family "Bacterial small subunit ribosomal RNA", at positions 30 to 526 of the family's 1533-position model. The record is from RNAcentral.